AGUGAACGCUGGCGGUAGGCCUAACACAUGCAAGUCGAACGGCAGCACAGUAAGAGCUUGCUCUUACGGGUGGCGAGUGGCGGACGGGUGAGGAAUACAUCGGAAUCUACUUUUUCGUGGGGGAUAACGUAGGGAAACUUACGCUAAUACCGCAUACGACCUACGGGCGAAAGCAGGGGAUCUUCGGACCUUGCGCGAUUGAAUGAGCCGAUGUCGGAUUAGCUAGUUGGCGGGGUAAAGGCCCACCAAGGCGACGAUCCGUAGCUGGUCUGAGAGGAUGAUCAGCCACACUGGAACUGAGACACGGUCCAGACUCCUACGGGAGGCAGCAGUGGGGAAUAUUGGACAAUGGGCGCAAGCCUGAUCCAGCCAUACCGCGUGGGUGAAGAAGGCCUUCGGGUUGUAAAGCCCUUUUGUCGGGAAAGAAAAGCAGCAGGUUAAUACCCCGCUGUUCUGACGGUACCCAAAGAAUAAGCACCGGCUAACUUCGUG
This 492-nucleotide ribosomal RNA is filed under the name uncultured bacterium. RNAcentral describes it as "partial 16S ribosomal RNA". It matches the Rfam family "Bacterial small subunit ribosomal RNA", at positions 29 to 507 of the family's 1533-position model. The record is from RNAcentral.